UGCUAUAUGGUGGGUCGGUGUGGCAUUGAUGCUUUAUUAUGUCUAACACAUCACAAAUUCUAAUUAGAACAUGCCCUGUUUUUAUAAUACUAAAAUCCCAGUUUGUUUUUGCCAUUGAUGCUUUAUACAAUUAUUAUUUUUGCCAUUAUCUCCAUGAAUGCAAGAAUUCACCAGUGACCCUUUUAUCCUUUGUAGGAAUGACAUGCAAGAGAACCAGGAAGGAACCAUGAAGAUGGCAGUUUGCAUCAGCUAGACAUUUUGUGUAAUGGAGCAAAUACAAUGUGUCUUUUAGUUAUCGUUUUGUAAACCUAUAUGGUGUCUUGUCAACUGGGUAUUUUGUGUAAAGGAGCAAACAAUGAAUCGUCAGACAUGCAUCUAUCAUUUUGUAAACCAAUCAGGUGUCUUGGUGAUUGAAACAUAAAUGUUUCCUCCUUUCAAUUAGUUACUUUUACCUAUAAGAACAUUCUUCUUUGGUUGUGGUUUAAUAUUUUCAGAGUUCAUGCAAGUUUCCAUUGCAAUGAG
RNAcentral lists this long non-coding RNA (522 nucleotides) under Triticum aestivum (bread wheat). Its description in RNAcentral is "long non-coding RNA (TAES_LNC014890)". Lineage: Eukaryota; Viridiplantae; Streptophyta; Magnoliopsida; Poales; Poaceae. The record is from RNAcentral.